Molecule: long non-coding RNA, 1676 nt
Filed under: Gossypium barbadense (sea-island cotton)
Lineage: Eukaryota; Viridiplantae; Streptophyta; Magnoliopsida; Malvales; Malvaceae
Description: long non-coding RNA (GBAR_LNC016771)
Source: RNAcentral
GUUCAAGAAAAACAUAAAAAUAUAAUAUUAGAUGAAGAAAUAUAUAACAAAUUUAUAUAUAAAAAAAUAAAAAAUAAAGAAAUUAAGCAUACAUAAAUACAUUUACCUCACUUGGGAACUUCAAAAUCAAACUAGACUAGGUGCUGAGAAGAUCCUUGCUACUUCAAGACGAUCAAAUGGGAUUUGAAGGGAUAUUUUCUUGGUUUUUGGGAGCAAAAGAAAGUAAGCAAAACUGAAGAAGAAAAAAGAAAAAAACUUGAAGGUCUUUUCUUCUUUUUAAGGGAAAGGAAAUAAAUAAAAAUAAAAAUCAAGGUUGCACUAAAAUGUUAAGAAAAGUUUUAAGACAACUGGGUUCAAAGGAUUUGUGUUAUGAGAUUACCUCGAUAUGGGGAGCUAAAUUAUUGAUGUUGGCACUGAUUGGUUUGGUAAUGGCCCCAUCCAUUUAUUUUGCAAUUAUGAUAGGAGACGACUUAGAAAAAGAUGAGUCUUUGGGUCCUAUUUUCACACUUGAUAAUUAGCACAUCAACCACCCCUAAAUUAUGACCAUUAUUUUAAAUCUAUUUUCAAACUUCAAAUUCAUCUACUAAACAAUUGAUGUUAUAUUAAUCAAAUUAUUUUGUUGUUAAAAUCAAUAAAUGAUACGUUAAAUUUUAUAUAGCUAAUUUUAAAAUAAAAAUUUAAAGAAACUAAAAUUAAAUAAAACUGAAUUUUUUAAAAAAUGAACAAUAAAAAUUUUGUAAAAACUUCAAAACCAAGUUUUUUAAAAUUAACUAUUUUUACAAUUUUUUUUAAAUUUUCAUACUUCUGUAUCUGAUUGUUUUUUUACAAUAUGGUAUGUUUUAAAGUUUUGAUUAGAAUGGCAUGUACUUAGGAAAAAUAUUAGGUAUGUUCCAAGUAUUAGUUUUUUAUGUUCAAUUAUAUUAGUAAUUAGCCAAGUAUUAAUUUGGCACCAAAUGUAAUAUUCUUAUAUCAGGUUCCUUAAGUCGAACAUGGUAUAGGGGUGUUACAUUUAGAAUUUUCUGCCAUUUUUGAUUCUCCAUUGAUGUCCAUUUCUCCUUCUCCUGUUGUCGCACAUUGAAGUUUUUGUUGCCCUCAUAAUUUCUGCAUUGCUGCCCCAUCUAAGUCUCAUCUUGUCAUCAUUAUAUCUCACCCCUUGACUGAACCCUCUUAGCUUGGUUAGUGAGCAUUCAUUAUUGUUAAUCGACUAUUAACGCAGAUCUUCAAACCGGUGUAGCGUUAAGAAGGAAUCGAGACGAAUCCGAGUUGUAGUGGUGCUCCGGUCAAUUGUUAAUAUUCUAUGGAUUGUAAUUGAGGUGUGAGAUUCAAAUCAAUUGUGAGUGGUGUAUGCAUGUGUACUAUUUUGCAUGUUGGCCGAAUAACGUUGUUUUACCAAAUACUUAUCGAUCAACUUCCAAUUAGCUGCUACUGGUUCCUUUUGUUACUGACUUGCUAUUUAAUUUGCUUCAAUUUUGUUGCUUAACCUCGUACGAUCAAAUGGGAUUUGAAGGGAUAUUUUCUUGGUUUUUGGGAGCAAAAGAAAGUAAGCAAAACUGAAGAAGAAAAAAGAAAAAAACUUGAAGGUCUUUUCUUCUUUUUAAGGGAAAGGAAAUAAAUAAAAAUAAAAAUCAAGGUUGCACUAAAAUGUUAAGAAAAGUUUUAAGACAACUGGGUUCAAA